UGGGGCGUCGCCAAGCGGUAAGGCAGCGGCCUUUGGAGCCGCCAUUCGGAGGUUCGAAUCCUUCCGCCCCAGCCU
This 75-nucleotide transfer RNA is filed under the name Chloroflexi bacterium RBG_13_56_8. RNAcentral describes it as "tRNA-Gln". It matches the Rfam family "tRNA". Rfam says of the family: Transfer RNA (tRNA) molecules are approximately 80 nucleotides in length. Their secondary structure includes four short double-helical elements and three loops (D, anti-codon, and T loops). Further hydrogen bonds mediate the characteristic L-shaped molecular structure. tRNAs have two regions of fundamental functional importance: the anti-codon, which is responsible for specific mRNA codon recognition, and the 3' end, to which the tRNAs corresponding amino acid is attached (by aminoacyl-tRNA synthetases). tRNAs cope with the degeneracy of the genetic code in two manners: having more than one tRNA (with a specific anti-codon) for a particular amino acid; and 'wobble' base-pairing, i.e. permitting non-standard base-pairing at the 3rd anti-codon position. Lineage: Bacteria; Bacillati; Chloroflexota. The record is from RNAcentral.